UACGAAGGGGGCUAGCGUUGUUCGGAAUUACUGGGCGUAAAGCGCACGUAGGCGGACUAUUAAGUCAGGGGUGAAAUCCCGGGGCUCAACCCCGGAACUGCCUUUGAUACUGGUAGUCUCGAGUCCGGAAGAGGUGAGUGGAAUUCCGAGUGUAGAGGUGAAAUUCGUAGAUAUUCGCAAGAACACCAGUGGCGAAGGCGGCUCACUGGCCCGAUACUGACGCUGAGGUGCGAAAGCGUGGGGAGCAAACAGG
This 253-nucleotide ribosomal RNA is filed under the name uncultured bacterium. Its description in RNAcentral is "partial 16S ribosomal RNA". It matches the Rfam family "Bacterial small subunit ribosomal RNA", at positions 524 to 776 of the family's 1533-position model. The record is from RNAcentral.